AUUGUUGGCCGGUAUGAAUGGCGUCACGAAGGCCCCACUGUCUUAAGAGGACUCUCCAUGAAAUUGAAUUCGUAGUGAAGAUGCUACGUCCAUAUUGUAAGACGAAAAGACCCCAUUGAGCUUUACUAAAGACUUGCAUGGCUCAAAAUAAUUUGAUUUAAAUAAAAAGUUUAGAUAAUGUGGGACCCGUUUCCGGUUAAUGAAACACCACUCUUUUAUUUUAAGAGAGCUAACAUUACAGGGAUAGUGUAAGUUGGAUAGUUUGGUUGGGGCGACCACCUUUUAAAAGGUAACGAAGGUGAGCUUAAGGUCCGUAGUUAAUAGCCGGUGGCCUGACUGCAAGGGGGACGUCUCGAGCAGACACGUCCUUAGGGAUGUGGGACUAUAGUGACCCGUCAUCUUAGUGUGGAAUAGUUGACGA
RNAcentral lists this ribosomal RNA (421 nucleotides) under Anthopleura sp. 1 PL-2017. RNAcentral's name for it is "partial 16S ribosomal RNA". It matches the Rfam family "Bacterial large subunit ribosomal RNA", at positions 1979 to 2448 of the family's 2925-position model. Lineage: Eukaryota; Metazoa; Cnidaria; Anthozoa; Actiniaria; Actiniidae. The record is from RNAcentral.